This 253-nucleotide ribosomal RNA is filed under the name uncultured bacterium. RNAcentral's name for it is "partial 16S ribosomal RNA". It matches the Rfam family "Bacterial small subunit ribosomal RNA", at positions 524 to 776 of the family's 1533-position model. The record is from RNAcentral.
UACGUAGGGCGCGAGCGUUGUCCGGAAUUAUUGGGCGUAAAGAGCUCGUAGGCGGCCGGUUGCGUCUGCUGUGAAAUCCCGGGGCUUAACCCCGGGCGUGCAGUGGAUACGGGCCGGCUGGAGGCAGGCAGGGGAGAAUGGAAUUCCCGGUGUAGCGGUGAAAUGCGCAGAUAUCGGGAGGAACACCGGUGGCGAAGGCGGUUCUCUGGCUCGUAUCUGACGCUCAGGCGCGACAGCGUGGGGAUCAAACAGG